Long non-coding RNA from Homo sapiens (human), 1764 nucleotides. The record is from Ensembl. Lineage: Eukaryota; Metazoa; Chordata; Mammalia; Primates; Hominidae.
CACCUGACGCUAUUGGAGACUCCUGCGGUUUGAUUCAUGUCCAGAGGAAGUUGAGGGGCCCAGAUUCUCUACCUUCAAAACUUCCUAGGCGCGUGGAGGGUGGCGACAGAGGUGCGCGCCUCGGGGGAGACGCGAGGUGGGUCCUCCUUCUGCAGCCGAGUCUGGGCGAGCGCGAGGGGAGCCUCCACGCUGCAGGCUUCUGUGCAGGGGCGGUAAAAUCCGCAGCCCAGAGCUGGAGAAGGAGAAGCAGCUGCUGGGACCCCGGAGGGAAGCCGGGCCGGCGCCAGCGGCUCCGAGGGCGCUCUGCCCAGUGCUGCCUCCCCGGGAAACAGUUCAGGACGCUCAAGACCAGAAGCGGGAGCAAACCCAAAAGGAGCUCCAAGGAGGUUGUGGAUGAGAGAGCUGUCCCAUGGCUGGGCUGUUUUUACGUAUACUGGCUGCUUACAGGAUAUCACGCUGCUGAAUGACGUGUACUUGAAGACCAGCAGAGGGUGGUGGAUGUGCCUCUGCCCACGCUGUGUAAAGAUGGCGGCAGAGCGGACCCAACAGCACCCUUGGAGUCUACACAGGAAGAUAAAGUCAUGCAUGGGUAAUGUCCUCUGGCUGGUUCUGAAAUAUAUAAAGGCUGCCAUUUUUCAGGGACAGAGCAAAUUAUCCUACACCUCUUUAUCCUCUAGAAUUUAAUUUCCAGUUGCCUAAGUCUGCAUAGCUUUCCAGUCUCAGGUGCAAAUGGCCCUCAAGUCUCCUGAUGUCCACUGAAGCUGUUUGGGGUUUUUGUUUUUACCCGAUUUUAAUAUUUUUUUCUGUGAUCCAUGCAGAGCUCUAGCAUCCUCACUUCUUUAACUAAAUUAAUACCUUUAAUCUGAUUGUAGUAAAUUCUUGCUGUAACCUGAGAUCCCUUUUCUCUCCCUGGUGACAUUGCAUCACGCGUCUUUGGUUUUUUGUGGAUUGAUUUUAUUGUUUAGCUCUCAGAGGAUGUUCUUAUUUCCAAGUAGCUGGAAAUUACCAAAUACCAAUCAUAAUAUCCAGAAGUACAAAUUAAUAACGGGAUAGUAAUAAAUAGUACAAUUUGUACUUAUAGUUUAUGCCGUUUUUCUAAAUUACAUGUUGAUCCUUUUUAGUGGCAAGCGGCCCAUCGGUAUUGGCUAUUGAUAAUAAUUGAAACAAUAUGCCAUGCGAUCCCCUCUAACUGUGCAGAUGUAAUGAAGCAUACAUCUGCCAGAUGGAAGAAGUUACAGUAUAAUGUACCCUGACUUGCUGUUGCAGGGUUGCUAAGUACAGUUUUUUUUCAUUUUUUUUUUCCCAGCAUUUUCGCUGGUAUCAUUGGGUAUAGACUCAGUCAGUAGGGUACCUAGCAGUCUGAGCUUGAAUACUUGAGAAUUAAUUUCAACACACCUUUGACUGUUCCCUAAUGUUCUCCACUUAAAUGUGUCAUAGCGAAGCCAAGGGUAACUAGUGUUUUGUGAAGAAGAACUGUCCUUUCGUGUACCCACCUGCAAACUUGAGUAUACAUGUUGGGUGUUGAGUGCUGGAGAGAGAGAAAUGAUUUACCCCUCUUUAGAGAUACCCCAUAUUGAUGAGAGUGAUGUGCUUGGGCAUGGCUUGGAGAACCAGUGGGGUGUUUGGAAUGAUGGCUUUUGUCCAUUUCAACAUUGGAACCCUGAUCCUAUAUUAUAAUAAGAAAGGUAGAUACAUGGCAGAAUCAAGUAUAAAUUGCUUAUCAUAACGUUUGUAGUUCUUUGAGAUAUAAAAAAGCCUCCCAAU